This 570-nucleotide ribosomal RNA is filed under the name uncultured bacterium. RNAcentral's name for it is "partial 16S ribosomal RNA". It matches the Rfam family "Bacterial small subunit ribosomal RNA", at positions 355 to 914 of the family's 1533-position model. The record is from RNAcentral.
UAGGGAAUCUUCGGCAAUGGGGGCAACCCUGACCGAGCAACGCCGCGUGAGUGAAGAAGGUUUUCGGAUCGUAAAGCUCUGUUGUAAGUCAAGAACGGGUGUGAGAGUGGAAAGUUCACACUGUGACGGUAGCUUACCAGAAAGGGACGGCUAACUACGUGCCAGCAGCCGCGGUAAUACGUAGGUCCCGAGCGUUGUCCGGAUUUAUUGGGCGUAAAGCGAGCGCAGGCGGUUUGAUAAGUCUGAAGUUAAAGGCUGUGGCUCAACCAUAGUUCGCUUUGGAAACUGUCAAACUUGAGUGCAGAAGGGGAGAGUGGAAUUCCAUGUGUAGCGGUGAAAUGCGUAGAUAUAUGGAGGAACACCGGUGGCGAAAGCGGCUCUCUGGUCUGUAACUGACGCUGAGGCUCGAAAGCGUGGGGAGCGAACAGGAUUAGAUACCCUGGUAGUCCACGCCGUAAACGAUGAGUGCUAGGUGUUGGAUCCUUUCCGGGAUUCAGUGCCGCAGCUAACGCAUUAAGCACUCCGCCUGGGGAGUACGACCGCAAGGUUGAAACUCUAAAGUGAAUUGAC